RNAcentral lists this ribosomal RNA (253 nucleotides) under uncultured bacterium. Its description in RNAcentral is "partial 16S ribosomal RNA". It matches the Rfam family "Bacterial small subunit ribosomal RNA", at positions 524 to 776 of the family's 1533-position model. The record is from RNAcentral.
UACGGAGGGUGCAAGCGUUGUUCGGAAUUACUGGGCGUAAAGGGCGUGUAGGUGGUAGGGUAUGUCAGAUGUGAAAGCCCUGGGCUCAACCCAGGAAGUGCAUUUGAAACUACCCUUCUUGAGUAUGGGAGAGGAGAGUGGAAUUCCCAGUGUAGAGGUGAAAUUCGUAGAUAUUGGGAGGAACACCCGUGGCGAAGGCGGCUCUCUGGACCAAUACUGACACUGAGACGAGAAAGCGUGGGGAGCAAACAGG